RNAcentral lists this long non-coding RNA (2366 nucleotides) under Homo sapiens (human). RNAcentral describes it as "p53 upregulated regulator of p53 levels". Lineage: Eukaryota; Metazoa; Chordata; Mammalia; Primates; Hominidae. The record is from RNAcentral.
CCUCUUGAGCUCUUGUGGUGACCUGGGAAUCAAUGUGUGAGGUGGUGCUAUGUAGCAGGAACCCCUCUUGCUUUGCAAAUAGUUUUUUGUUUGUUUUCCUUUUUGCCCAAUAGAGCCCUGCUCUACUGACCCUUCAAUGUGCCCGUGUGCCUAAAUAUUCCUGGUCGUGUGAAAAGAACCCAGGUAUUAGCUGAACUAAGGAGCACAAUUCUGCAACAUUUUGGCACCCAAACACGGGGCUUGAGAAAUGAAUGCAAUUGGAGAAACUGGUUGUUUUACCAGGCGUUGAUUGGAAAUGUGUGCUUCCCUUUAAGCAGUCAAGCUCAACUUGCAGAACUGAUGGGAACCCCUUGGGAAAACUGGCCUCAAAUGUUUGUCUACACAGUCCACAUACAGGGUUCUUAACCUGCGAUGAGGGAAACUUCCCAGGGCUUGUCUGGGUAUGCCCACAGUGGACUGGAGCCCAAAAUGCACACUGGAGGAAGUGGAUGGAGCCACGUGGAUGUCAUGCCUUAUGCAGGGGAGGAGCCUGCUCUCUUCAGCUCCUGUGGUAAUGUGGGAAUCGAUCUGUGAGGUGAGGACCUGUUAGCAGGAACCCCUCUUGCUUUGCUGAAAGUUUUAUUUUUCUUUUUGCCCUAUAAAACCCUGUUCUACUAACCCUUCAAUAUGUCUGCAUUCCUAAAUUUUCCUGGUCAUGUGACGAGAACCUAGGUUUUAGCUGAACUAAGGAGCAAAAUUCUGCAACAUAAAGUCAAAGAAAACUAUGCCUAUAUCCAUUAAAUCAAAUGUUAAAAAGCAAAUAUAAAGAAAAAGUCUUCACAGCCCUAGAGAAAAGUGAAACAUUGUACAUAAAGAAGUAAUAAUUUGAAUGGAUUGUCAGAAACCAUGACUAGAAGACAGAGGAGCAAUAUUUUCAAAUUUCAUAGAGAAAGGAAAAAAAGAAAAGAAGAAAAAAAAGAAGACAUAAUAAAACACCUGUCAUUUUAGUAUUCUGUACCCAUUGAACAUAACCUUCAAUAGAAUGUGAAGUAGACAUAUUCAGGUGAAUAAAAAAUCAAGAGAAUAAUAGUUAUGUUCUACAUGAAAUUAUAAAGGAAAUUUCUCAGACUAGGUGGAAAUUAUACUAGUGAGAAACAGAUUUGAAGGACUAAAGGAAGAGAUGAUAGACUGACAAAGUCAAUUUUUAAAAGCCAGAUCUAACUUCUUAUUGGCUACAAGGAAUCCACUUUUAAUAUACAAAAAUAGGUAAUAAUUAAAUUGCUAGAAAAUACAUUUCAAAUAAAGAAUCAGCACAUGUAGCUUGGAGAAGAUAUAUUAACAUAAAAAGGACUUCAAUAAAAGGAGUAUUAUGAGAAGACAUUUAUGCAGCCAAAAAACACAUGAAAAAAUGCUCACCAUCACUGGCCAUCAGAGAAAUGCAAAUCAAAACCACAAUGAGAUACCAUCUCACACCAGUUAGAAUGGCAAUCAUUAAAAAGUCAGGAAACAACAGGUGCUGGAGAGGAUGUGGAGAAAUAGGAACACUUUUACACUGUUGGUGGGACUGUAAACUAGUUCAACCAUUGUGGAAGUCAGUGUGGUGAUUCCUCAGGGAUCUAGAACUGGAAAUACCAUUUGACCCAGCCAUCCCAUUACUGGGUGUAUACCCAAAGGACUAUAAAUCAUGCUUCUAUAAAGACACAUGCACAGGUAUGUUUAUUGCGGCACUAUUCACAAUAGCAAAGACCUGGAACCAACCCAAAUGUCCAACAAUGAUAGACUGGAUUAAGAAAAUGUGGCACAUAUACACCAUGGAAUACUAUGCAGCCAUAAAAAAUGAUGAGUUCAUGUCCUUUGUAGGGACAUGGAUGAAAUUGGAAAUCAUCAUUCUCAGUAAACUAUCACAAGGACAAAAAACCAAACACCACAUAUUCUCACUCAUAGGUGGGAAUUGAACAAUGAGAUCACAUGGACACGGGAAAGGGAACAUCACACUCUGGGGACUGUUGUGGGGUGGGGGGAGAGGGGAGGGAUAGCAUUAGGAGAUAUACCUAAUGCUAAAUGAUGAGUUAAUGAGUGCAGCACACCAGCAUGGCACAUGUAUACAUAUGUAACUAACCUUUACGUUGUGCACAUGUACCCUAAAACUUAAAGUAUAAUAAUAAUAAAAUAAAAUAAAAUAAAAAUUUAUCAGAAAAACAAUAUCAAUUAUAAUGUAUAUACCUAAUAAGAGAGCUCAAAAUAUUUGAAACAAAUCUGACAGAAUUAAAAAGAAGAAUGGAUAAAUUCACAAUUAUAGAAAAAGAUUAUACACCAGUUUCUUAAUAAUUGAUACAACCACUGGAGAAAUAAUAAGAAAGCAAAAAUAAAGACAUAGAUCCAAAUAA